RNAcentral lists this ribosomal RNA (545 nucleotides) under uncultured eukaryote. Its description in RNAcentral is "SSU rRNA". It matches the Rfam family "Eukaryotic small subunit ribosomal RNA", at positions 21 to 568 of the family's 1831-position model. The record is from RNAcentral.
UGUAGUCAUAUGCUUGUCUCAAAGAUUAAGCCAUGCAUGUCUAAGUAUAAGCAAUUAUACAGCGAAACUGCGAAUGGCUCAUUAAAUCAGUUAUCGUUUAUUUGAUAGUACCUUACUACAUGGAUAACCGUGGUAAUUCUAGAGCUAAUACAUGCUAAAAAUCCCGACUUCGGAAGGGAUGUAUUUAUUAGAUUAAAAACCAAUGCCCUUCGGGGCUCUCUGGUGAUUCAUAAUAACUUCUCGAAUCGCACGGCCUUGCGCCGGCGAUGGUUCAUUCAAAUUUCUGCCCUAUCAACUUUCGACGGCUGGGUCUUGGCCAGCCGUGGUGACAACGGGUAACGGAGGGUUAGGGCUCGACCCCGGAGAAGGAGCCUGAGAAACGGCUACUACAUCCAAGGAAGGCAGCAGGCGCGCAAAUUACCCAAUCCCGACACGGGGAGGUAGUGACAAUAAAUACUGAUACAGGGCUCUUUUGGGUCUUGUAAUUGGAAUGAGUACAAUUUAAAUCCCUUAACGAGGAACAAUUGGAGGGCAAGUCUGAAUCG